RNAcentral lists this long non-coding RNA (208 nucleotides) under Elaeis guineensis (African oil palm). Its description in RNAcentral is "long non-coding RNA (EGUI_LNC045743)". Lineage: Eukaryota; Viridiplantae; Streptophyta; Magnoliopsida; Arecales; Arecaceae. The record is from RNAcentral.
UUGCAGUGACUUAGUUUCUAAGUCCUGUGGCCUCACCUAACAAUUAUUGGUACAUUUCUUAGUUAAGUCCGACCCACCAUUCAUCAGUGAGUGCAAAGCCGUCAUUGGAUCCCUCAAUAGUUAUUGGGUCCAACUGCAUCUUUAUCCCAAGGCAUCUGAUGUCAAUAGAGUAGUUGUACCUUCUUGAUGCAACCGAACCACUGUAACC